This 1227-nucleotide ribosomal RNA is filed under the name Salmonella enterica subsp. enterica serovar Enteritidis. RNAcentral describes it as "partial 23S ribosomal RNA". It matches the Rfam family "Bacterial large subunit ribosomal RNA", at positions 1 to 1260 of the family's 2925-position model. Lineage: Bacteria; Pseudomonadati; Pseudomonadota; Gammaproteobacteria; Enterobacterales; Enterobacteriaceae. The record is from RNAcentral.
GGGUUGUGAGGUUAAGCGACUAAGCGUACACGGUGGAUGCCCUGGCAGUCAGAGGCGAUGAAGGGCGUGCUAAUCUGCGAUAAGCGCCGGUAAGGUGAUAUGAACCGUUAUAACCGGCGAUACCCGAAUGGGGAAACCCAGUGUGACUCGUCACACUAUCAUUAACUGAAUCCAUAGGUUAAUGAGGCGAACCGGGGGAACUGAAACAUCUAAGUACCCCGAGGAAAAGAAAUCAACCGAGAUUCCCCCAGUAGCGGCGAGCGAACGGGGAGGAGCCCAGAGCCUGAAUCAGCAUGUGUGUUAGUGGAAGCGUCUGGAAAGGCGCGCGAUACAGGGUGACAGCCCCGUACACAAAAGCGCAUGUGCUGUGAGCUCGAUGAGUAGGGCGGGACACGUGGUAUCCUGUCUGAAUAUGGGGGGACCAUCCUCCAAGGCUAAAUACUCCUGACUGACCGAUAGUGAACCAGUACCGUGAGGGAAAGGCGAAAAGAACCCCGGCGAGGGGAGUGAAAAAGAACCUGAAACCGUGUACGUACAAGCAGUGGGAGCACCCUUUGGGUGUGACUGCGUACCUUUUGUAUAAUGGGUCAGCGACUUAUAUUCUGUAGCAAGGUUAACCGAAUAGGGGAGCCGGAGGGAAACCGAGUCUUAACCGGGCGUUAAGUUGCAGGGUAUAGACCCGAAACCCGGUGAUCUAGCCAUGGGCAGGUUGAAGGUUGGGUAACACUAACUGGAGGACCGAACCGACUAAUGUUGAAAAAUUAGCGGAUGACCUGUGGCUGGGGGUGAAAGGCCAAUCAAACCGGGAGAUAGCUGGUUCUCCCCGAAAGCUAUUUAGGUAGCGCCUCGUGAAUUCAUCUCCGGGGGUAGAGCACUGUUUCGGCUAGGGGGCCAUCCCGGCUUACCAACCCGAUGCAAACUGCGAAUACCGGAGAAUGUUAUCACGGGAGACACACGGCGGGUGCUAACGUCCGUCGUGAAGAGGGAAACAACCCAGACCGCCAGCUAAGGUCCCAAAGUCAUGGUUAAGUGGGAAACGAUGUGGGAAGGCCCAGACAGCCAGGAUGUUGGCUUAGAAGCAGCCAUCAUUUAAAGAAAGCGUAAUAGCUCACUGGUCGAGUCGGCCUGCGCGGAAGAUGUAACGGGGCUAAACCAUGCACCGAAGCUGCGGCAGCGACACUGUGUGUUGUUGGGUAGGGGAGCGUUCUGUAAGCCUGUGAAGGUGUG